GUAUUCCGCUCCAUAGCGUAUAUUAAAGUUGUUGCAGUUAAAAAGCUCGUAGUUGAAUUUCGGGAUUAAUUUAUUGGUCGUGCAAUAGUACGUACUGGUAUUAUUGAUUCCUACCUUCUGACGAACCAUGAUGUCAUUAAUUUGGUGUCAUGGGGAAUCAGGACUGUUACUUUGAAAAAAUUAGAGUGUUUAAAGCAGGCUCACGCUUGAAUACAUUAGCAUGGAAUAACGAAAUAGGACGUUUGAUUCUAUUUUGUUGGUUUCUAGGAUCGACGUAAUGAUUAAUAGGGAUAGUUGGGGGCAUUAGUAUUCAAUUGUCAGAGGUGAAAUUCUUGGAUUUAUUGAAGACUAACUACUGCGAAAGCAUUUGCCAAGGAUGUUUUCAUUAAUCAAGAACGAAAGUUAGGGGAUCGAAGACGAUCAGAUACCGUCGUAGUCUUAACCAUAAACUAUGCCGACUAGGGAUCGGAUGAUGUUAAUUUUUUAAUGACUCAUUCGGCACCUUACGGGAAACA
Molecule: ribosomal RNA, 515 nt
Filed under: uncultured Glomus
Lineage: Eukaryota; Fungi; Glomeromycota; Glomeromycetes; Glomerales; Glomeraceae
Description: SSU rRNA
Rfam family: Eukaryotic small subunit ribosomal RNA
Source: RNAcentral